This is a long non-coding RNA of Hirundo rustica (Barn swallow), 317 nucleotides long. RefSeq lists it as uncharacterized. The record is from RefSeq and is a predicted model, not a curated record. The transcript is spliced from 3 exons. Lineage: Eukaryota; Metazoa; Chordata; Aves; Passeriformes; Hirundinidae.
AGGAGAGCUUCCUUCCUUAAUUAUUUUCACCUGGUAGCAGGCUAUUGUCAGACCAGGGACCUCUCUGCCCCUUGGAGCAGCACUCUGAAUGAGAAAUACACUGUGCUCUGCGAAGUCUGGAGGACACAGAAGUGAAAUGGGAGAUGCUUUCUUCAGAAAUCAAUUGAAAUGUGGAUUUCCAAGGAGGCCUUGUCACGAUGGAACGUGAGCAUUCCUCACAUGCCUGGCAUCCCUGACGUGAAGCAGGAGGCAGAAAAAUGCCUACCAACUACUGGGGAUGCUUCAUCUGCCAGACUACCCUGGAUUGCCCGAGCUGC